CCGCCCAUCGGGGCCGCCGGGCGCCGGCUCCCGGACCGACGAGGCGGAGACCCCCCAGUGGCGCUCCAUGGGCGCGCCAAGCCGGCCCGCUCCCAUCCGCAGGAGGAACCGCUGCCGACCGAGCCAGCCCCCAACACCAGUGCCCUCGUCGCCUCCUCCGCGGCAAUCCAGCCAGAGCAGAACACCCUCGGCAGGCCGCCUCUUCCGUUGCGCCAACACGCAGCAAGCCAAUCCAAACAAGCUGGGGGCGGCCCGAAGGCCUCUUGUCCAAUCGGCUGCCUGAUUCGAGGCGGAUCGACCGCGCCUCCGCCCAAUGAAAGGCUCGGGGCGGGGCGGAGGACGGCAAGGGAGGGGAUCCGGGCUGGGCAGAGGAGAAGGCGGUGUUGCUGAGCACAGAGUGAUGGCGGCGCCGCCCAAUAGACGCGUUGGUGGAGGGGUCUGCGACCCCUUACACCGGGGUGCACAGGAAGCCACCCCAGAGGGAUCCUACAAAAACCAAGAAAACGUAUAGCUACUCUUCUAAAUCUCAGUGCCCAGCAUUGCCUACGUUUCUGCCUCCCCCAGCAACAACAAAAAAAAAAACGGUUCUCCUUGACCUGAGGAAACUUCCAUCCAGGUCUGUGAGCUGCAAUAGAUCAUCCUGAAGAAUCAAGAAUCAUCAUCACCUGAGACUGCCAAGACGAAUCCCAACAUCAAAACAACACUUGAGGGCUUCCCUGGUGACGCAGUGGUUGAGGGUCCGCCUGCCUGAUGCAGGGGAUACAGGUUCGUGCCCCGGUCCGGGAAGAUCCUACAGGCCGCGGAGUGGCUAGGCCCGUGAGCCAUGGCCACUGAGCCUGCGCGUCCGGAGCCUGUGCCCCGCAACGGGAGAGGCCACAACAGUGAGAGGCCCACGUACCGCAAAAAAAAAAACAAAAAACAAAAAAGCACUUGAAGCUUGUGUACCUUUUCUUUCUUUACUGUGUAUAGUGUCUUUUAUCUUUUUAAAAUUUAUUUAUUUAUUUAUUUAUUUUUGGCUCCGUUGGGUCUUCGUUGCUGCACGCGGGCUUUCUCUAGUUGCGGCAAGCGGGGUCUACUCUUCGUCGCAGUGCACGGGCUUCUCAGUGCGGUGGCUUCUCUUGUUGCAGAGCACGGGCUCUAGGUGCGCGGGCUUCAGGAGUUGUGGCUCGCGGGCUCUAGAGCGCAGGCUCAGUAGUUGUGGCACACGGGCUUAGUUGCUCCACGGCAUAUGGGAUCUUCCCAGAGCGGGGCUCGAACCCGUGUCCCCUGCAUUGGCAGGUGGAUUCUUAACAAUUGCACCACCAGGGAAGCCCAGAAAAUAAAUUUUUUAAGAGAAAAAUGUA
This is a long non-coding RNA of Lagenorhynchus albirostris (white-beaked dolphin), 1343 nucleotides long. RefSeq lists it as uncharacterized. NCBI's taxonomy places the organism in Eukaryota, Metazoa, Chordata, Mammalia, Artiodactyla, Delphinidae. The transcript has 2 exons. The record is from RefSeq and is a predicted model, not a curated record.